RNAcentral lists this ribosomal RNA (120 nucleotides) under uncultured bacterium. RNAcentral's name for it is "partial 16S ribosomal RNA". It matches the Rfam family "Bacterial small subunit ribosomal RNA", at positions 796 to 916 of the family's 1533-position model. The record is from RNAcentral.
CACGCCCUAAACGAUGUCAACUAGCUGUUGGGGCCUUCGGGCCUUAGUAGCGCAGCUAACGCGUGAAGUUGACCGCCUGGGGAGUACGGUCGCAAGAUUAAAACUCAAAGGAAUUGACGG